Molecule: long non-coding RNA, 794 nt
Organism: Lathyrus oleraceus (garden pea)
Lineage: Eukaryota; Viridiplantae; Streptophyta; Magnoliopsida; Fabales; Fabaceae
Exons: 2
Source: RefSeq, a predicted model, not a curated record
AAUGCAAAAUGGACAUUAAUGAAUUGAAUUAACAAAACACAUACGAUACACAUGUUAAUGAAAACUUAGAGCCACCAACGAACGCGUCCUCUCUCUCAGUUUAGUUUCUAGUUUUCCCUUCGUCAUGUCGGAGGCCCUCUCCGGUGGCGGAGACACCUCAAAACACCAAUUAAGAACAUCACUCAACUCAGUUUCAAGCGUUGAAUCCAAAUAUGCUAAUGAAAUUUCUUGAUUCUUAUUGAUAUGCUCAAAUAGAACCAAAUUAAUGAAGAACCCUAGGUCUAGAUUCGAAAGUAAGUCGAGACUGAGGGGAAUCAAGCCACUCCACCUUGGGCCUUUGAUUCCCCUAAUUGAAAUCUACAUGAUGGUAACUCCUUUGAGGCAAAAGGAUGAAGAUGGAAGUGAAGACUUACCGGAGAAGACGCCGAUGUCAUGAAGUAUGUAAGUUUGGCUUGUUGGGCUUUGGAUUCAAGGACUGUCAUUGGCCACGUGGAAUUGUUGAGCUUGCUUAGGGACUUAUUGCAAUGGAGUCUUGGACUUGGAUUGGCUAUGAAGUGCAUGUUGGAUGCUUGGACUAUGUUGUAAUUUUUGUAACUUGGAAUUGAACUAGGGACUUGUGGCAAUUUUGUUGUAAUUUGAAAUGUUGUAAUGUAGGGUUAUAAUUGGAAUGAAAUUUGAAUGUAUGUAUGGUUAUUCAUGGUUAAAUGUAUGAAAUUGAAUGUUAGAAUAUGGAGAUUGAAUCAAAUGUAUGGUUGUGUUACAAUUUGAAAUUGGCUUAUGUUUUGAAAUUGGAA